GAUGAACGCUGGCGGCGUGCCUAAUACAUGCAAGUCGAGCGAACGGACGAGAAGCUUGCUUCUCUGAUGUUAGCGGCGGACGGGUGAGUAACACGUGGAUAACCUACCUAUAAGACUGGGAUAACUUCGGGAAACCGGAGCUAAUACCGGAUGAUAUUUUGAACCGCAUGGUUCAAAAGUGAAAGACGGUCUUGCUGUCACUUAUAGAUGGAUCCGCGCUGCAUUAGCUAGUUGGUAAGGUAACGGCUUACCAAGGCAACGAUGCAUAGCCGACCUGAGAGGGUGAUCGGCCACACUGGAACUGAGACACGGUCCAGACUCCUACGGGAGGCAGCAGUAGGGAAACUUCCGCAAUGGGCGAAAGCCUGACGGAGCAACGCCGCGUGAGUGAUGAAGGUCUUCGGAUCGUAAAACUCUGUUAUUAGGGAAGAACAUAUGUGUAAGUAACUGUGCACAUCUUGACGGUACCUAAUCAGAAAGCCACGGCUAACUACGUG
This 497-nucleotide ribosomal RNA is filed under the name uncultured bacterium. RNAcentral describes it as "partial 16S ribosomal RNA". It matches the Rfam family "Bacterial small subunit ribosomal RNA", at positions 28 to 507 of the family's 1533-position model. The record is from RNAcentral.